AUUGAACGCUGGCGGCAGGCCUAACACAUGCCAGUCGAGCGGUAGAGAGAAGCUUGCUUCUCUUGAGAGCGGCGGACGGGUGAGUAAUGCCUAGGAAUCUGCCUGGUAGUGGGGGAUAACGUUCGGAAACGGACGCUAAUACCGCAUACGUCCUACGGGAGAAAGCAGGGGACCUUCGGGCCUUGCGCUAUCAGAUGAGCCUAGGUCGGAUUAGCUAGUUGGUGGGGUAAUGGCUCACCAAGGCGACGAUCCGUAACUGGUCUGAGAGGAUGAUCAGUCACACUGGAACUGAGACACGGUCCAGACUCCUACGGGAGGCAGCAGUGGGGAAUAUUGGACAAUGGGCGAAAGCCUGAUCCAGCAAUGCCGCGUGUGUGAAGAAGGUCUUCGGAUUGUAAAGCACUUUAAGUUGGGAGGAAGGGUUGUAGAUUAAUACUCUGCAAUUAUGACGUUACCGACAGAAUAAGCACCGGCUAACUCUGUG
This 484-nucleotide ribosomal RNA is filed under the name uncultured bacterium. RNAcentral's name for it is "partial 16S ribosomal RNA". It matches the Rfam family "Bacterial small subunit ribosomal RNA", at positions 30 to 507 of the family's 1533-position model. The record is from RNAcentral.